Molecule: ribosomal RNA, 735 nt
Filed under: uncultured Fusobacterium sp.
Lineage: Bacteria; Fusobacteriati; Fusobacteriota; Fusobacteriia; Fusobacteriales; Fusobacteriaceae
Description: bacterial SSU rRNA
Rfam family: Bacterial small subunit ribosomal RNA
Source: RNAcentral
GAUGAACGCUGACAGAAUGCUUAACACAUGCAAGUCAACUUGAAUUUGGGUUUUUAACUUAGAUUUGGGUGGCGGACGGGUGAGUAACGCGUAAAGAACUUGCCUCACAGCUAGGGACAACAUUUAGAAAUGAAUGCUAAUACCUAAUAUUAUGAUAAUAGGGCAUCCUAUAAUUAUGAAAGCUAUAUGCGCUGUGAGAGAGCUUUGCGUCCCAUUAGCUAGUUGGAGAGGUAACGGCUCACCAAGGCGAUGAUGGGUAGCCGGCCUGAGAGGGUGAUCGGCCACAAGGGGACUGAGACACGGCCCUUACUCCUACGGGAGGCAGCAGUGGGGAAUAUUGGACAAUGGACCGAGAGUCUGAUCCAGCAAUUCUGUGUGCACGAUGAAGUUUUUCGGAAUGUAAAGUGCUUUCAGUUGGGAAGAAAGAAAUGACGGUACCAACAGAAGAAGUGACGGCUAAAUACGUGCCAGCAGCCGCGGUAAUACGUAUGUCACGAGCGUUAUCCGGAUUUAUUGGGCGUAAAGCGCGUCUAGGUGGUUAUAUAAGUCUGAUGUGAAAAUGCAGGGCUCAACUCUGUAUUGCGUUGGAAACUGUAUAACUAGAGUACUGGAGAGGUAAGCGGAACUACAAGUGUAGAGGUGAAAUUCGUAGAUAUUUGUAGGAAUGCCGAUGGGGAAGCCAGCUUACUGGACAGAUACUGACGCUGAAGCGCGAAAGCGUGGGUAGCAAACAGG